UCUUCUUCGAUUCUUCUUCGUUAUCUCUCUGCCGAUUCUGAGAGACAUUUCUAAAACCGUGAAAUCAAAUAGAAAGUUAGGGAGAUCAAUUAUCUAGUUUGAUAGAUGAAACGAUGAUUUCUCUGUGAAUCUUUGAAGAAGAAGAUGGUUUUGUUGAUGAAUCUAAAAUAGGUAAUUGAUAUUACAAAUUGAUUGACGUCUCUGUAUGAAUUCGUUCUGUUUGGAUUAAUUAUAGAGUGGGUUUGUUGUUAAUCGAGUAUAGAGAUGUUGCAUGAAAUUUAAUUUUGAUUUCUGCUAUUUCCCUAAAUCUACCAGAAGUUAGGGUUCUUGCGAAUUAGGUUAUUUAAGUUGGAUUCUGAAGAUGAAUAAGAUGAAUUGGAUAGAGGGUAAGAUAUUGGUUCAGGGUUUUGCAAAGAAGAAUCAGAAGAUGAUUGAGUUGUAGUUCAAGGAUAAAUGGUAGUUGGAUAUUGAUGUUGUUUAUUUGAAUCGAGUUGAACAUGGGUAGUUGCAGUAGCAGUUGGGAGUAUGACAUAGGGUUUGUAGUUAGAUGUGAAGAGUUACGAGUAGAGGUGGUGAACUAGAAGACACAGUAGAUUGUAGAGUUGUGCUGGUCAGGAUGAGACAGAGAUGUUGCUGUUAAUGGACCAGGAAGAAUUGAUAGAGGUAAUGGCAGUGUAAAUAUGAGGUGCUGUGAAGACUUAAGGCUGAACAGAGGAGCAAUGAUGUCUGCAAUGAAGUUUCUGAACUGGUGUUGGUUGUUAGUUGAGUUCAAGUAGUGUGUGGGAAUAACUGUGGUAGCAGAGAUGGAGGCAUGAAUGGAAUGGUGAUGCAGGUAGUAUGGUUUUGAUAAGAAUUACAUAUAUGAACUGAAUUCGUUAAGAUGGGAUUGAUUAUGAAGAUGUGUUGUUGGCAAUGAGAUGUUGAGAAUGUUGUUUGUUUGUGUACUGAAGUUGCAGGGGAUAUAAGUGAUGUGGAGGUGUUGUAUUGCAACUGGGGUGGUGCUGUUGUGUUUUGACUGCCAGUUGAAGUGAAUGAGGUAUACAUGUUGUGCAAGAAGAGACAGAGGUGAGAUGGCUUAUGCAAUUUGAUUUGGUUGUUAGCUGUUGAGAUUAUGUGAUGUAAAGGAAAUUGGGAUUGAACUAAUGAAUGUGAAUUAUGAGUUGUUUGCCUGUAAGAUAGUGGUUGUACUGGAGGUAAUGAGAUGGAUGUUAUUGAGAAGUUAAAGAGCUUCAGUUGCAAAUUAGUGGUGGUGGUGGUUUGAGGCAGUGGUGUGUAUGUAUCUUCUAAAUUCUAAUUUUAUGAUUUGACCUGGAUAUGAGAUGUAUGAGACAAACCCAUGGGUAGUAAAUAUUACAAGUGCUGGUGGUGAUGUUGCCUAGGUGGUUGUUUUGGGUUGAGUCUGAUGAAUUAGAAUUACAAAGAUGUGAUGUUGGAAGUGUUGUUGGUGAUUAGAGAGUAGCAGGUGUUGAAUUGAACUGAUGUAAGAAGAAUGAGAUAGUGAAGUUGUAGAAAGAAUGUUGCAGCUACUGCUAAACUGCAGUUACUCUUUAUUAACAACGAUCGAUCCAAAGGAUGAACCAGUGGAUUAUGAAUCUCAAGGUAUGCGAGGCUUGUCAUCAAAAGAGGUGGGAAUCGAUAACGAACUUUCUGUAUUCAUUAUUGUUUUACAAAUUAUUCUUGGUGUUGUGAAAUUCAUGCAUAUACUUGUGUGCUCUAUGUGGUAUGAGAUGUGGGCCGACACAAUAUCAGUAUUCUAUGGCUAGGGCGAUACACCGCAAUAUUAUUACGGAUAGGGUGUAGGGCGAUGCAUCCAAUAUUACUCUUCCCUAUAUAUAUCCAGUAUUCUAUGGCUAGAGCGAUACACUGCAAUAUUACUUAAUCGGAGUGGAAGCGGGCUUCAAUAUUAUUCUUCCCUUAGUGCGGCAACACACAUCUCAUACAUGAUUGUUUACUGUUAUUUAUGAACUUCUAUGAAGAAGUUUUUAUAACGUAUUUUACUAUCUUUCGGAGUUUUAUUGCCUUUAAAUAUAACCUGCAUCGUUUUCCGUUCAUAUUAAUGUCUGUAUGGAAGCUAGUUGUUAUUCCUACUGUGCACGGUUGUUGUGCUCACCCCUUUCCCACUUUCAGUUUGAGAGACAUACCAGAAUUGCGCAGCGAAAGCUCAGGAAGUUAACUACGUUAUUUAGAUUGCUUCCACUAUGUUUAUUUUGUGUUUAUAUUUUAUUUGUAAAUCAAAUGACUAUUCUAUAUGUAUCAUUUGAGAGGAGAUUUUAUAUACAUAUAUGUAUAUUCCAGAGCGGGGUUAGUUUUGUGUUAAGUUUUUGUAGCAUAUUUCGUAAUUGAAUAUUUUAGUAUUUGAUUUAGAUU
Molecule: long non-coding RNA, 2367 nt
Organism: Papaver somniferum (opium poppy)
Lineage: Eukaryota; Viridiplantae; Streptophyta; Magnoliopsida; Ranunculales; Papaveraceae
Exons: 2
Source: RefSeq, a predicted model, not a curated record